UUACCUCUCUUAUGAGAAGAAAACCUGGAGUCAAAGAAGAGCAUAAUGUAAUAAUAGAGGAGAGGACCUUGUGAUCAUAAACAGUAGAGACAAACAGGUGUUUCUGAAUAAAUUGGCUAACAAUCUGAAGGGACCUGGAAAUUGGUGGAUGGAACAACUCUAACUACAACACAAUCAGUGCAUUUGAAGCAGAGGAGAGGAAGCAACUGAAGACUAUUGAGAUACAACCGGUGAAGGAGGUUGGCUUCAAGAGAGAGUUUGCAUCUGUGGGUAUUCUACACUAGCGUCCGACCCAGGACAAGGUCAAAUCAUUCAUUUAUUGUAAGGUGAUUUCUGUGAAGCCAUUUGUGUCAGAGCCUGACUUAACAGGAUAGACCUAAAGUGUCAGAUAAAACUAUCUGGGACUGGGACUGGACAAAGAGAGGACAGAGAUCCGGUAUGGACACACAUUUGAUGGCACACACACACCAAUGGAUAAUAAUCAGAAAACACAAUCUUUUUCAAUUAUCUGUUUUAAAGUCAAUAUGAAAUUCAACAGAAUUAUAUACACAUUAGUUUGUGUUUCAACUCCACAUUAGGUGAUUAACCUCAUGUUCUAGAAGUUAUGACUGACUGCAAAUUACGCAGCAUUGGGGUUUGCGUGAUCGUGGCCAAGUCUAUGUGCACGAGUACGUACACAGGGAGAGGCUGCGACGCACAGCUUGCCACAACUUUUAAGAACAUGCAAUUUAUUAUUACGUGUGACUAGGUGCAAGGUCCAUUGACGUACAUUUUAAUCUUGCCUUCAAAGUUACAUAAAACGUUAUUGUGCACUCACAGUAAUUUACAGUAAAGCUAAUGCAGACUUGAAAACACACAUAGUCCCGAGCAGGGUUCUUAUGACAAUGUUUCAGUUUGGUUUCCUUGCAUGGCAGUCCCUCUCUCUCACCUCUUACCUAGGCAACAAUCAGUCAUGUGAAUAAUCAGUCUAUCACAGUCACAGACUAGUCACCACAUCUUCUGAAAGUAGUGGAGAGGCCGGCCACUCACCUUGAAUAAGGUACUAACUUUAACGUGUGUGUGUCUGUGUGUAAGUUUAUGUAUGCGCAGUGCUUGACUCAUUUUGGGUGCUGGUACUGUGGUGCAGGUGCUCCCCAAUACUUUUGAGCAAAUAUUCUAUAAGAGGAACAGGAGCUCAAGCUCUGGAUGUCUGUGUGUUUGUGUGUGUGUGUGUGUGUCCAUGCUUGCGUGUGUGUAGGGUUUUUCAAUGCAGCAGUGUGUUAUGAACAUUACUAUCUGGUGGUGGGUGUUAUUGGCAACAUACUUGUUUGAAAAAGUCAAACGUUUCUUGAUAUUGGUUUUAGUAAUCUACUUUGAUGCCUGAAUUUCACUCCCCCAUUCUCCCUGUCUCUGUCUCUCUAGCAUUUUCUCUCUGUCCCUCUCUCUCUCUC
Coregonus clupeaformis (lake whitefish) is the source of this 1430-nucleotide long non-coding RNA. RefSeq lists it as uncharacterized. NCBI's taxonomy places the organism in Eukaryota, Metazoa, Chordata, Actinopteri, Salmoniformes, Salmonidae. The record is from RefSeq and is a predicted model, not a curated record. The transcript is spliced from 3 exons.